AGAGACAGCAGCAGCCGCGGGAAUACGAAGGGGGCUAGCGUUGCUCGGAAUUACUGGGCGUAAAGGGAGCGUAGGCGGACAUUUAAGUCAGGGGUGAAAUCCCAGAGCUCAACUCUGGAACUGCCUUUGAUACUGGGUGUCUUGAGUGUGAUGGAGGUAUGUGGAACUCCGAGUGUAGAGGUGAAAUUCGUAGAUAUUCGGAAGAACACCAGUGGCGAAGGCGACAUACUGGAUCAUUACUGACGCUGAGGUUCGAAAGCGUGGGGAGCAAACAGGAUUAGAUACCCCUGUAGUCCCUGUCUCUUAUAC
This 309-nucleotide ribosomal RNA is filed under the name uncultured bacterium. RNAcentral describes it as "partial 16S ribosomal RNA". It matches the Rfam family "Bacterial small subunit ribosomal RNA", at positions 504 to 807 of the family's 1533-position model. The record is from RNAcentral.